AUUGAACGCUGGCGGCAUGCUUUACACAUGCAAGUCGAACGGUAACAGGCCGCAAGGUGCUGACGAGUGGCGAACGGGUGAGUAAUGCAUCGGAACGUGCCCAGUCGUGGGGGAUAACUACUCGAAAGAGUAGCUAAUACCGCAUACGAUCUGUGGAUGAAAGCGGGGGACCGUAAGGCCUCGCGCGAUUGGAGCGGCCGAUGUCAGAUUAGGUAGUUGGUGGGGUAAAGGCUCACCAAGCCAACGAUCUGUAGCUGGUCUGAGAGGACAACCAGCCACACUGGGACUGAGACACGGCCCAGACUCCUACGGGAGGCAGCAGUGGGGAAUUUUGGACAAUGGGCGCAAGCCUGAUCCAGCAAUGCCGCGUGCAGGAAGAAGGCCUUCGGGUUGUAAACUGCUUUUGUACGGAACGAAACGGCUCUGGUUAAUACCCGGGGCUAAUGACGGUACCGUAAGAAUAAGCACCGGCUAACUACGUG
Molecule: ribosomal RNA, 482 nt
Filed under: uncultured bacterium
Lineage: Bacteria
Description: partial 16S ribosomal RNA
Rfam family: Bacterial small subunit ribosomal RNA
Source: RNAcentral